This 253-nucleotide ribosomal RNA is filed under the name uncultured bacterium. RNAcentral's name for it is "partial 16S ribosomal RNA". It matches the Rfam family "Bacterial small subunit ribosomal RNA", at positions 524 to 776 of the family's 1533-position model. The record is from RNAcentral.
UACGUAGGGGGCAAGCGUUAUCCGGAUUUACUGGGUGUAAAGGGGGCGCAGACGGCGAUGCAAGCCAGGAGUGAAAGCCCGGGGCCCAACCCCGGGACUGCUCUUGGAACUGCGUGGCUGGAGUGCAGGAGGGGCAGGCGGAAUUCCUGGUGUAGCGGUGAAAUGCGUAGAUAUCAGGAGGAACACCGGUGGCGAAGGCGGCCUGCUGAACUGCAACUGACGUUGAGGCCCGAAAGCGUGGGGAGCAAACAGG